AAAAGAAGUCCAAACCUGUGUGUGCCAAUCCAGACGAUGAUUGGGUCCAGAGGGAGAUGAAGAGGCUGGAUCCAUCAAUGCUGCAUUAGAACGAGAAAAAGAAGAAGAAGAUCACAGUGGACAUCUUUAUCUAGCUGUCCGAGAUCGGAUAUCAUCUUUAGUCAUGUACACAGUUUACUAAUACAGAAAUAUGUUGUAUACUUAAUGUUAGAGCCAGUAUAAGUAAAAUAAUUUAUGUGAACCAUCUAUGAUACUAUUCAACUGUGUGUGUAUGUGAGAAAAAUGUAUCCUUAACAUGCUGUUAACAGAUAAGUUGAGGUUUUUUAAAAAUAUACACAGAUUUGCUCAUUUUUGCAUCGGCACUAGAGUUGGACUUUGUGUUUUUCUUUUGCAAAUAAAGAGCAAAACCAAACAGAA
Molecule: long non-coding RNA, 417 nt
Organism: Haplochromis burtoni (Burton's mouthbrooder)
Lineage: Eukaryota; Metazoa; Chordata; Actinopteri; Cichliformes; Cichlidae
Exons: 2
Source: RefSeq, a predicted model, not a curated record